GAAAUAUGGUAUAACUGUAACUGUGACUUGGUUUGUGGUCAUCGCGCGGGUAUCCUGUGGUGUCACAAUCGAUCCAUCCAUAUCCAGUCAAUCGUGCAACUCCCAGGCCCACUCGGUCUCACAAGGGGAAUGUGAUUUUACGCGUUUUUUGCCUCCUAUCUUAACUAGAAAAUAGUAUUUAUUGAGAAAGAUGAGGAUUUAAAUAGGCUGAUUGUGGUCGAGGGCUAAACAAGUCUUUGAGGAACCGUUUCGUCUGAAGAAACUGAUAAGAUAAGACGUACGAGUUGAUAGUAAAAUCUACCCGAGUUUUCGUGAAUCCGCCCGUCUCGUUCUUCUUCAAUUGUAAACAGCAGCUAAAAAGAGGAUCAAAACAAAAAGGUGAAUAAAGCAAGGACUAAAGUAUAGCUGUCAUUAUAGGCUGGCUGAAAUGAAAGCAGAUAUAAAUAAACGUUUUUCGUAUUACUUUUUUGCUUAGUAUAAUUAUAUUCAAUCAACACACAUUCUUUCCCUAUAGCCAACAUAAUCUGCUCUUGCUCUGCUGAUACUUCCCUAAAGUCUGUGUGGAUAUAAGUCUUUAACUGUCAACAAUUGACCAUGUUAUGAUUUCUGAUGCUUGAAGACCAGGUCUUCUGUACUUACUGCAAAGUUACUUACUGCAACUGUAAUUAACUGCAAACUGAUUGCAUUAUUCUCAUGUGCAUAGGUAACAACAAUAAAUACUAUUUGCAUAUAUAACAAAA
Nematostella vectensis (starlet sea anemone) is the source of this 740-nucleotide long non-coding RNA. RefSeq lists it as uncharacterized. The record is from RefSeq and is a predicted model, not a curated record. Lineage: Eukaryota; Metazoa; Cnidaria; Anthozoa; Actiniaria; Edwardsiidae. The transcript has 2 exons.